This 469-nucleotide ribosomal RNA is filed under the name Salmonella enterica. Its description in RNAcentral is "bacterial SSU rRNA". Lineage: Bacteria; Pseudomonadati; Pseudomonadota; Gammaproteobacteria; Enterobacterales; Enterobacteriaceae. The record is from RNAcentral.
AAAUUGAAGAGUUUGAUCAUGGCUCAGAUUGAACGCUGGCGGCAGGCCUAACACAUGCAAGUCGAACGGUAACAGGAAGCAGCUURCUGCUUCGCUGACGAGUGGCGGACGGGUGAGUAAUGUCUGGGAAACUGCCUGAUGGAGGGGGAUAACUACUGGAAACGGUGGCUAAUACCGCAUAACGUCGCAAGACCAAAGAGGGGGACCUUCGGGCCUCUURCCAUCAGAUGUGCCCAGAUGGGAUUAGCUGGUUGGUGAGGUAACGGCUCACCAAGGCGACGAUCCCUAGCUGGUCUGAGAGGAUGACCAGCCACACUGGAACUGAGACACGGUCCAGACUCCUACGGGAGGCAGCAGUGGGGAAUAUUGCACAAUGGGCGCAAGCCUGAUGCAGCCAUGCCGCGUGUAUGAAGAAGGCCUUCGGGUUGUAAAGUACUUUCAGCGGGGAGGAAGGUGUUGUGGUUAAUAA